AAAAAAAACUACAAUUUAUUUAGGUUUAGGCAAUAAAUAACUACGAACACAAAGACACCUACACGUUGUUGGUUUCACGCGGGAUGCAAACUCCGGUCUCCUGCGUGAAAACCCUGUUUUUUGUGUCCCCUAUUUAUCCACAUCCAUGGGGCUUAUAGCGACUGAUAACGCCUAUUUAAUAGCCUGACAACAGUCUAAUUGGCUGACUCGGCUGAAAUAGCAAGGGAAUCGUUCUGUGUGAGGCCUACAUUUAGCUGUGUAGCAUCUAUUUUUAUUCAUGCUUUAACCUUUUUUUUUUUUUUUUGUCAAAUUCUGAAAUGUACCCACGAGGAAAUGUGCAAUAGAUAAGAAACACAUUAUGCUUCAACAAGAGGAAAAAUAUCACAGGUCUUGUGAACAAUGCCAUUUCAUCUGUUGGGAGUAGAUAUUCCCGGUCACACUGCCAGUCAUGAGCUUUUUACCAUCAUUUCAAGUGUAUCAUUUUAAGUCGAUCUUAAAGAGCAGGUGUGAACGGCCCUUAUAAACGCGUUGGAAAAAAACUUGUUGGACCAAAGCAGUCGUAUGUGACAUCUCAUUAUCUCCUGACGUGAUGGACUUUUCUAAUAACUAGCAUGAGAAUCUCUGCUCCUCCUGCCGCGGAUCAGCAGUGGACAGUGAUUUUUUGAAUGGCAUGGCAGAAACCCGCUGACCCAUUCUGUAUUGACAUUACAGCCAUCCGGAGAGUCAUGGGCCCAUCAUCAGGGGCCUCAGUGGCCCUGCUCUGAGCUGUCACGUUCGUGCCUGAAUGGAAUUUUGAUAGUUUCUUGUUUUUGCGUUGUUGUUGUUGUUGUUUUCUUCUCUUUUUGCUGUUUUGCUUUCUGGAGUGUGUCCUCUCUGUACCCACGCCGAUGCCUCUCUUGACAUUUACCCCCAUCAUCGUCAAACCGAGUCAGACUUUUUCCUCACCGAUCACCAUGGCGAAGGUGACAUUUGGAACCGGGAGAGUAAACAAGAGAGCGGGGAGAUGAACGCCCCUUCAGGCCAUUUUAGUUCAAUCCAUCAACUUCCAGGAUGUACGCCAAAAAUAGAAAAACCUUUAUUUUUCUCUUUGCUUAGCCCCAGGCAGGCCUUAUCCAUGUGCUACAGGUGAAUACGUGCUAAAGACUUCCUGAGUGUACAGGCCAAUACACAGAGUUCCCUCUAUUGUUAGGGGAGCUUAUGUCCAUAAAUCCUUUUGUUGAGAUAGUAUUUAGUUAAACUCCACCUUAAAGGUACAGUAAUGGAAGAGAACAGAGAGCAAUACCCUGAUUUGCUUUCUUGAUGAGAGUUAGAUGAGAAGAUUGAUGCCACUCUCAUGAUGUUAAGACGUGUCAUUUAAAGAACCCCUCUACUCAAAAAUAAGCUUUGCUCAUUGUUACCUCACUCGGAUGUUUGACCUUCACUGUGCCGAAUGAUGUAUGUCCAGAGUUCGACUCAUUAGAUUCAUCUGCCGAAGGGACAAAAAGUUUCUCUGAGCUCUCGUUAAAUUUCAGUUUAAGGCGUGUACGUACAGCGUGAUUUUGUGACAUCACAACAUCGUGGUCCAACUUUUGCAAGUGUGAUGUGCAAACUUGGAGCCUACAUUGAACAGAGAAUUCAGUAAAGUAGGAGAAAUUUGAGAAGUUCAACUUUUGACGCAAGUAAUACUUAAAAAAUAAAUAAAUAAAAAAUGAGGCGGAGAGAGUAGAUGCAAUUGUACAAAUUUUUAACGAGGUAAUUUAACAGUGUUGUUGAUAAACCAUAAGGGACAAAUUAUGUAUUUGUAUUUUUGAAUGUUUUUAACCAUGUCUGUAGGGAAUCUUUAAAUAUGAAGCUAAAGACAUGAGACGGUUAGCUUAGCUUAGCUUAGCUUAGCUUAGCCUUGACCUCAUGAUGUUUUCCAUCGAGGUCAAGCAAAAGUGGUUAGGAAAGACAUUUGUCAUUUUUUGUGACUAUUGGACCACAGCCUGUGAGUAGGGUGGACAUCUAGCCUGUGGAAAGAUUAAACAGAAGUUCAGUUCUUACUAAUUAACACUUGUUAAAAACGACAACAUUGUGGUUUUACACUUGGUUGACGAAAAGAUGCCAGGAAGUCACUGCACCCGGCCAAGAAAUAGCACAUUACCCCCCAUAAACACUUACUCUUUAGUUUUUGAAUGGUUCAAACUAAAUGAGACGUACCCUGAUAAGUAAUGAGCUUUAGAGGUGCUGGUAGAUUUCUUUGGACAGAAGUUUACCUGUUUCCAGUCUUUUUGCUACGCUAAGCUAACUAUCUCCUGGCUUUAGCUUUGUGUUUAGCGCGGUAAUAUAUAUAUAUCUAACUGUAUCAAUCUUCUCAUCUAACUCUCUGCAAGAAACUAAAUAAGUGUAUUUCCCAAAAAUGUCUAUAACUGUAUCUUUAAGUUACAGGCUUCUUCUUUUUUUCAAUCAUACCAGCUCAGCCUAUUUCAGCCGCACCGCUCUUAAACCUGCGUGCAUCCACGCGGCAGAAUGGAAAUGGAAUUUGGCGGUGGUAAUAUUUUUUUUUUGCAUUCCGCUGUGUGCGCACAUGCCAACACACACUCGACGAUGAUGAUGAGGAGUCAUUCACGCCACAGGAAAUAUGAGUUUCUCGACCCGAAGGCCAGCCUUGUGUGAGACAGCUCCGCUACGCCGGCGCCCUGUUUUAUCCCUCGCUCUCUUUUUAUUUAGACAAAUGGACGGCACCUCUCAGGCGUGAAGCACCUUGGGCUCUGUAAUCCCAAACACUAGCUGCUGCUGCUGCCAUGGCGUAUUACUCCCUGGCUACACUUCCUUUCUUCUCUUUCCUUCUUCUCUCUCCUUCCUCGACACAGCUGAGCAGUCUAUUCCCGGUGAAAUGAUUGAGAUAUGUAGGAGGGGUUUGGGCGGGGGUGGGGAUGUGUGUGUGUUUUUGCAUGAUGAGAUGGAUUGUUUGCAGGUGCACUCAGGAGAAGAGAAUUUGGAGGUCAAGGAGGAGAUUUGCGAGAGCAGGAUGCAGGGAGGCACGAGAUGGAUCAGAUAGUGGAUUCUAGGAGACAAGGUGAGAGUGAGGUGAGAGGAGCUCUGCUUUGAUAGGAGGGAGAUGAAAGGCUAGUGGGCACUGUUUCCACUCUAAAAAACUACAAGUCCUUCCAACUCCUUCCAACACCUCCAUCAAACCCCAAAAACCUAAUGAGCUCUCCGCUCCCCAACCCGAGCUGUGAUCUCAUUACUCCCAAAACAAUGUUUUAAUUGCGGCACUGGAUGUUUUUCAAGCUGCUUUGCAAGAAACUGCAAAGUCAGUGAGAGACAAAUGAGUUCACACUACAGAAGCUUCUCUCACUCUCACUUUCACUUCGUCCAUAGAAUAACUUUAAAAACGGAUCCUAAGUCUGAUUGUAGCUUCUUUUUACUGUCAGCGUCUUCAGAUCUUAUGUAGCCCUGAGGGUGUGAGAGUUUGAGCUCGCUGUUGAAAAAGUUUCUUUUUUUUUUGGAAUAAGACAAAAAAAAAAAAAGGGCUUUACAUGGUGGAUUCCCGACUCUUUUUUUGCCUUAUUCCUCUGUUUUUUUGUUGAGAAAAUAAUUGAAUGUUGUAAAAGUGUAACGCAGGAUUUGAAGCGUUUGUUCACAUCUAAUGAAGCAAGCUUUAAUUCAUAAUGGAUAGGGGCUUCAAAAGUCAACAGCAGCCAGCUCUGGAGUGGAGUGAUUGCUGAGUUUCUAAAGGCUUGAUAGAAGGAGGGGUAGGUUUGAUAUGAAAGUUUCAGUAAGUGCGUGGGAGCAGGUUUUGAGGUAUUUAGGGAGAUGAUUUUGUAGGUUUUUUUAAUUAAUAUGUAGUUUUUGUUUGAGUGUGAGAGAAGAAAGGAAAGAGUAAGCAAAGCUGCAGGGCUUGGGGUAAAAAAAAAAAAAAAUCCCAAGCCUGUGAAUAAGGGAACGCUGAUUAUUUAUGUCAUUCUGAAAACUUCCUCACAGAGUCGCAGUUGUUUGACGCGCCAGCGGGCAUCAGCGGGAGCUGUCUCCGAGCUGCACAAAACAGGCUGUGUCGAGGAAUGAGGCGUGCAGCUGUGUCUCUCUGUGGCACUUUUUCUUUGUCUCUGUUUGAAUCCCUGUUUCUAAUUAGCACAACAGUGUGUCUUAAUUAACCUUUGCCAGUCAGACAAUACUCCGGCGCUAACGGCGUCCUAAUCAAGUACACCGCGGCGGCGGCGGCGGCGGCAGCUGCCAUUCUGCGUGGGAACCUCCGGUGCCGGUCGUGGGCUCAGCCAUAUUUUAGCAGUGGAGACGAGCUGUCAAAAGUGAUUGAUGCUGAGUUACAGCUGAGGUAGAUUUAUGAGAAGCCUGUUUUUAGCCCUGGAUGUUGCAUUUAUAGAAUAUAAUUUGUCACCACCCUGCUGUGGAGAGCAGCGUGCCAAAUAAAAAACACUCGGAAGCCCGAUGACAUCACGCUCUUGAUCUGGAAAUUCUGACAAAAACAACCAGCAUGUCAACCACACCAACAAACACAAUAACAACCACAGGCCUUGAGUUGGACCAAAGGAGAUAUGCCAUGAGGAGACUAAAGAGGCUUUAAUCCACUAAAAAUCAUCCAAUGAGGAGCCAUCUACCCUGGUCACAUGAUGAUAAGGCACAUCUGUCCAAAGCAUCAUCACACUGUACGCCACAGAAUAGGACGACGUACAAUGAAGAGCAAAUAAUGUCCAAAUGAAUUUGAUUGGAGACAUUCUGCACAUGUGCAUUCCUUUUGAAAACAGGGCAUUUUCUUAUCUACCGUUUCAUUUUGACAAGUCUUGUUCCCUUUUUUUGUAUCUUGUACAUGUUUACAUUGUAUCUCGCAUUGCCCAAAAAGAGAAACAAUAUUAAAUGUAUUAUCUUUGUUGUUUUAGAA
Molecule: long non-coding RNA, 4858 nt
Organism: Sebastes umbrosus (honeycomb rockfish)
Lineage: Eukaryota; Metazoa; Chordata; Actinopteri; Perciformes; Sebastidae
Exons: 2
Source: RefSeq, a predicted model, not a curated record